CAGAGUUGCAAGACUCCCUAAACCAUUGUGAACCUACCUUCUACCGUUGCUUCGGCGGGCGGGCCCAGCGCCCCCCCGGCCCCCCGCGGGCGCCCGCCGGAGGAUACCCAAACUCUUGACAUUAGUGGCCUCUCUGAGUAUUCUUUACUGAAUAAGUCA
RNAcentral lists this unclassified non-coding RNA (159 nucleotides) under soil metagenome. RNAcentral describes it as "partial internal transcribed spacer 1". The record is from RNAcentral.